AUCCUUUUGUGGUUCAUAAGCGUGAUGAUUGGGUUUGCACACGGCUGUGUGACAUGUGCCUCCCUCCAACGUUGUUACGACAUUGGCACAUCACCCGCCUGACU
Molecule: small nucleolar RNA, 104 nt
Organism: Ochotona princeps (American pika)
Lineage: Eukaryota; Metazoa; Chordata; Mammalia; Lagomorpha; Ochotonidae
Source: Ensembl